This 765-nucleotide ribosomal RNA is filed under the name Triticum aestivum (bread wheat). RNAcentral's name for it is "partial small subunit ribosomal RNA". Lineage: Eukaryota; Viridiplantae; Streptophyta; Magnoliopsida; Poales; Poaceae. The record is from RNAcentral.
AUGAUGGUUAAUUAUAUAGUUUAUAUAAUAAUAAUGCAGAUGAAUCGGCAAUGGAUGUACGGUCCCCGACUCUCCGGCGAGUUCACUACGGGUUUGAAAGAUUUCCUCGUAGUGGCAAAUGCGAACAAGCAGCAAGGUUUUAUUAUCUGUCCAUGUGCUGUCUGUAAGAAUCAGAAGGGUUACUCCUCCUCAAGAGACGUUCACAUGCACCUGCUUCGGCACGGUUUCAUACCAAGCUAUAAUUGUUGGACCAAGCAUGGAGAAAGAGGGGUUAGAAUGGAAGAAGAUGAAGAAGGGGAUGAUAUCGAUGACAACUAUCAUGAUCAUUUCGGUGAUACUUUCAUGGAGGAUGAUGCUGAAGGUGGGGAAGGGUUAGGUGAAGGUGAAGAAGAGGCACAUGAUGAGCCCGCUGAUGAUCUUGGUCGGACCAUUGCUGAUGCACGGAGACGCUGCGAAACUGACAAGGAUAGGGAGAAUUUGGAUCGCAUGUUAGAGGAUCACAAAAAGUCGUUGUAUCCAGGAUGCGAUAAUAGUCUGAAAAAGCUGGGCUGCACACUGGAUUUGCUAAAAUGGAAGGCACAGGAAGGUGUAGGUGACUCAUCAUUUGAAAAUUUGCUGAAAAUGUUGAAGAAUAUGUUUCCGAAGAAUAACGAGUUGCCCGCCAGUACGUACGAAGCAAAGAAGGUUGUCUGCCCUCUAGGUUUAGAGGUUCUGAAGAUACAUGCAUGCAUUAACGACUGCAUCCUCUACCGCGGUGAAUACUAG